GAUGAACGCUAGCUACAGGCUUAACACAUGCAAUUCGAGGGGCAGCAUGGUCUUAGCUUGCUAAGACUGAUGGCGACCGGCGCACGGGUGAGUAACACGUAUCCAACCUGCCGUCUACUCUUGGACAGCCUUCUGAAAGGAAGAUUAAUACAAGAUGGCAUCAUGAGUCCGCAUGUUCACAUGAUUAAAGGUAUUCCGGUAGACGAUGGGGAUGCGUUCCAUUAGAUAGUAGGCGGGGUAACGGCCCACCUAGUCUUCGAUGGAUAGGGGUUCUGAGAGGAAGGUCCCCCACAUUGGAACUGAGACACGGUCCAAACUCCUACGGGAGGCAGCAGUGAGGAAUAUUGGUCAAUGGGCGAGAGCCUGAACCAGCCAAGUAGCGUGAAGGAUGACUGCCCUAUGGGUUGUAAACUUCUUUUAUAAAGGAAUAAAGUCGGGUAUGUAUACCCGUUUGCAUGUACUUUAUGAAUAAGGAUCGGCUAACUCCGUGCCAGCAGCCGCGGUAAUACGGAGGAUCCGAGCGUUAUCCGGAUUUAUUGGGUUUAAAGGGAGCGUAGAUGGAUGUUUAAGUCAGUUGUGAAAGUUUGCGGCUCAACCGUAAAAUUGCAGUUGAUACUGGAUAUCUUGAGUGCAGUUGAGGCAGGCGGAAUUCGUGGUGUAGCGGUGAAAUGCUUAGAUAUCACGAAGAACUCCGAUUGCGAAGGCAGCCUGCUAAGCUGCAACUGACAUU
This 730-nucleotide ribosomal RNA is filed under the name uncultured Bacteroidales bacterium. RNAcentral's name for it is "bacterial SSU rRNA". It matches the Rfam family "Bacterial small subunit ribosomal RNA", at positions 28 to 747 of the family's 1533-position model. Lineage: Bacteria; Pseudomonadati; Bacteroidota; Bacteroidia; Bacteroidales. The record is from RNAcentral.